RNAcentral lists this long non-coding RNA (1094 nucleotides) under Zea mays. RNAcentral's name for it is "long non-coding RNA (ZMAY_LNC003413)". The record is from RNAcentral. Lineage: Eukaryota; Viridiplantae; Streptophyta; Magnoliopsida; Poales; Poaceae.
CGAUUUUACUGGUCGUUCGCCUCCCGUUAUCCUUCCUCAAAAGCCAUGGGAAGCUUCUGUUACGUUGGUGCGCCGUCGUCAAGGCUAAUCGCGGUACAUUGCGCCAUCCUCGCCAGCGAGUUCCUCGGCAAGUUAUCCGUCUACUCUUCUCAUCGGCUUGCGCCAUCCUCCGCCGCGAGUUCCACGGCAAGUUGUCUGACUGCUCAUCUUAUCGGCGUACCCAACCUUCAUCGUGUGGCAGAUUCGUCAAGGUACGCAAACCCUUCUACCAGUGUGUCGCUCAGAGUUGUAGUUUCCCGUCUAAACUCUUGCUUCACACAUCCCGAAUCCACUCCUGCUUAUCGAUAAGCAAAGUUAGCCGGAUGAUUCUUCAAAAUUUAUGUCCUCCGUAUUAGAGCUUGCCUCUCAAGCUUCUUGGUAUUGCACUCCUACUCGAUUUGUGCUAAUCGUGGGGGGGGCAAGAAUGGCAAACAAAAAUAUUUUCUUUCGUUAUCCCCUCCUUCAGACGCAAGUUUACGAUGGACUAAUGAAUCUCUACGUCCGGCAUGGGAUUUACCUUCAGCUACAGACCAAACUUCGUAUGUAUUCCUGGAAAUAUUACUUCCUCUCAUUGGUUGCUGCAAAUGGUAUUCUUCAUCUGCAUUUUUGGAAAUAUUGCUUCUUCUCAUUUGCUUACUGCAGAUGUCCUUCUUAAUGGAUACCCACUAUAUUAUCUGCCAACGUAAUACCUGGGUAUUGAACUGUCAAACUAAUUAACUUCUAGAACAGCAAAUGGUUAGUAGAAAUGUGCAAAUGCAUAAAUGGCCAUAUAAUUGUUUCAACCAAUGAAUACCAGCCUGUCUUUUAAUUGAUCCUGCAACUCGCGUUAGCAGCUAACUUGGACAAACUGUUACAUAAUAUAAUGUCUCCUCAUGCAUAAUUAUCUAUGGACACACUGUAAAUUUUAUAUUGAUCUUUCACUCAGUACUUUCUAAACGUCAGCAUCUAACUUGGACAACAUGCAGCUUCUAUACCCAAAACUGGCAUGCUAUCAAUGCAACCUGCUAUUUUUCCAUAUUGAUAGAUGAUAGACAAGAUAUACAACUUCGUUUUUU